AUAGGGCGGCAGCGAUGUCGCCGGAUGGCGCGGGAGAAGUCAGCAGAGGCCAUAAUAGUCCGGGCGACGGGGCGAAGGGC
RNAcentral lists this non-coding RNA (80 nucleotides) under Sphingopyxis flava. Lineage: Bacteria; Pseudomonadati; Pseudomonadota; Alphaproteobacteria; Sphingomonadales; Sphingopyxidaceae. The record is from RNAcentral.